This 506-nucleotide ribosomal RNA is filed under the name uncultured bacterium. Its description in RNAcentral is "bacterial SSU rRNA". It matches the Rfam family "Bacterial small subunit ribosomal RNA", at positions 28 to 525 of the family's 1533-position model. The record is from RNAcentral.
GAUGAACGCUAGCGAUAGGCCUAACACAUGCAAGUCGAGGGGCAUCACAUGAAGUAGCAAUACGGAUGGUGGCGACCGGCGCACGGGUGAGUAACACGUAUGCAACCUGCCUUCAACAAGGGGAUAACCCGUUGAAAGACGGACUAAUACCCUAUAACACAGGGGUCCCGCAUGGGAAUAUUUGUUAAAGGACAACCGGUUGAAGAUGGGCAUGCGUUCCAUUAGCUAGUUGGCGGGGUAACGGCCCACCAAGGCAACGAUGGAUAGGGGAACUGAGAGGUUUAUCCCCCACACUGGUACUGAGACACGGACCAGACUCCUACGGGAGGCAGCAGUGAGGAAUAUUGGUCAAUGGACGCAAGUCUGAACCAGCCACGUCGCGUGAAGGAAGACGGCCCUACGGGUUGUAAACUUCUUUUAACGGGAAUAAAGUGCCCCACGCGUGGGGUUUUGCAUGUACCGUAUGAAUAGGAUCGGCUAACUCCGUGCCAGCAGCCGCGGUAAGU